CAGUCGCCGCGGUAAUACGUAGGGGGCAAGCGUUGUCCGGAAUUAUUGGGCGUAAAGCGCGCGCAGGCGGUCAUUUAAGUCUGGUGUUUAAUCCCGGGGCUCAACCCCGGAUCGCACUGGAAACUGGGUGACUUGAGUGCAGAAGAGGAGAGUGGAAUUCCACGUGUAGCGGUGAAAUGCGUAGAUAUGUGGAGGAACACCAGUGGCGAAGGCGACUCUCUGGUCUGUAACUGACGCUGAGGAGCGAAAGCGUGGGGAGCGAACAGGAUUAGAUACCCCCGUAGUCCCUGUCUCUUAUACC
Molecule: ribosomal RNA, 301 nt
Filed under: uncultured bacterium
Lineage: Bacteria
Description: partial 16S ribosomal RNA
Rfam family: Bacterial small subunit ribosomal RNA
Source: RNAcentral